AGAAUUUGAUCUUGGUUCAGGAUGAACGCUGGCGGCGUGCUUAACACAUGCAAGUCGAACGAAGCAUUCCAACUCUCGGAGGAAGAAAUGACUGAGUGGCGGACGGGUGAGUAACGCGUGGGUAACCUGCCUUAUACAGGGGGAUAACAGUUAGAAAUGACUGCUAAUACCGCAUAACCCGCUAGUACCGCAUGGUACAGACGGAAAAAGAUUUUAUCGGUAUAAGGUGGACCCGCGUCUGAUUAGCUAGUUGGUGAGGUAAUGGCUCACCAAGGCGACGAUCAGUAGCCGGCUUGAGAGAGUGAACGGCCACAUUGGGACUGAGACACGGCCCAAACUCCUACGGGAGGCAGCAGUGGGGAAUAUUGCACAAUGGGGGAAACCCUGAUGCAGCAACGCCGCGUGAAGGAAGAAGUAUUUCGGUAUGUAAACUUCUAUCAGCAGGAAAGAAAAUGACGGUACCUGACUAAGAAGCCCCGGCUAACUACGUGCCAGCCGCUGC
Molecule: ribosomal RNA, 502 nt
Filed under: uncultured bacterium
Lineage: Bacteria
Description: bacterial SSU rRNA
Rfam family: Bacterial small subunit ribosomal RNA
Source: RNAcentral